This 97-nucleotide microRNA precursor is filed under the name Adineta vaga. RNAcentral's name for it is "microRNA mir-598". The record is from RNAcentral. Lineage: Eukaryota; Metazoa; Rotifera; Eurotatoria; Adinetida; Adinetidae.
UGCUGACGAUUUUGAUGAUGACGAUGAUGAUGACGAUGAAUUUAAUAAUGAUCAAAGAAUUUAUUCAUCGAAAUCAACAACAACAUUAUCAACUGUA